UCACUUGAAUAUGAGAUUCAAACUUCUCAAAGUGGAGUUGUCAGUUCGUCAAUUAUUAUUUUCUCAAUGAAAUUCAAUCCUAAUGACACCAUCCGUAACACCAUCCGUGACACCCGUGACACCAACACCAUCCAUAGCGGUCGUGGUCGCGGUCGCCCUCGCCCUCGCCCUCUGAGGUUUCUAUAUACCGGUCUCUGUAUAGCCUCUGCUCCUCCUCCAGCAUCUCCCGUCAAUGAAGACCAAGACAGGGGUGAUAGGAAGAUGAAGGGAAAAUGGGAGAGUAAUUGACUGACUUGUCUGAUGGCAGGCAACAA
This is a long non-coding RNA of Ipomoea nil (Japanese morning glory), 314 nucleotides long. RefSeq lists it as uncharacterized. The transcript is spliced from 3 exons. Lineage: Eukaryota; Viridiplantae; Streptophyta; Magnoliopsida; Solanales; Convolvulaceae. The record is from RefSeq and is a predicted model, not a curated record.